GUGCUUGGUUAGUACCAGUUGGUGCACUUGCCCCCUUUUCCCCCCUCUGAGUCCCUGUAGUGCUCCUCCCUACCUGGGGAUGGGCAAGGGACUUUCUAUAGUCCUUCUUCUUGAGCCCUCUCUGAGUCCCACCCCUCUCUGGAGCUUUGGCAGCCCUCCCUCCCUUACCCCCACCGCACGCCCUGGCAGGAUGAGCUCAUGCAGCGGGAGAGGGGGUGGGCACACCGCUCAGUGGCUCAGUGGGUAGAAUUUGGAAAGGCUGCUUGGAGUGUGCGCGUGGGAAGCUCACAGGGAAUGCCAGGGCCGCUGGGGGACAGACGUGCUCUGGAGGCUUGCCAGCAGCAACUGGCAGACCUGGGGUUUCCCCCAAGAAAAGGCAGCUGAGUCCUUGCAUCUUGUGGCAGCUGGUGUGCCCAGCACUGAGUCCAUCGGAGCUGAAGGCAGCCCGGCCCCUUCUCAUGGGCAGCACCCACCUGUGCUGAGGUCCUGCAGCGGUGGCGGUGUGAGGUGAGUAAUGGAUUCCAGGGCAGGGAGUUAGAGAUCUCCAAAUCCAGGUAAAUGCCACCUUUCCACCAGAGCUCUUGAUAUGAAAGGCCCUGCCUGGGCCUCACCAGCCAGGCCUCAGGGCACAGUCUCUCUUUUCUGGAGGAUUGUGCCCAGUAUAGCUGCCCUGGGUCUCUUGGUUCCCCAGUCUCUAAUAUGGGAAUGACAGCCUUGACCUACAUCCUGGAGUGAGUAGGAGAAAGCACCUAAAAGUCAUUGCCAAGUCCUUUGCAGAUGUCAAGCUCCAUCUAAGAGCUUCAGUGUAACACAGACAUGCUUUCCAUCAAGAUGUCAUUUCCUUUCCUCUGGCUUUCCUGAUGUUGAAGUGGCAUUUCAGCCACAUGCCACCAAUUCGCCAGUUGGUUCCUAUAAUUUCUACUGCCUCAUAACCUGAAUUUUACCUUCGUAUUCAAAGUGUACCCCCACCCCGUCCAUCCCAGCUUCUGGGCCUGGUAGCCUUAAGUUAAACCUUCUAAGCCUUUCCUCUGCCUUCCCACCCAACCAGGGAGCAUUUCCUCCC
RNAcentral lists this long non-coding RNA (1063 nucleotides) under Camelus dromedarius (Arabian camel). RNAcentral describes it as "lncRNA (ENSCDRG00005015497.1)". Lineage: Eukaryota; Metazoa; Chordata; Mammalia; Artiodactyla; Camelidae. The record is from RNAcentral.